Long non-coding RNA from Brassica oleracea var. oleracea, 590 nucleotides. RefSeq lists it as uncharacterized. The record is from RefSeq and is a predicted model, not a curated record. Lineage: Eukaryota; Viridiplantae; Streptophyta; Magnoliopsida; Brassicales; Brassicaceae. The transcript is spliced from 2 exons.
UAAAUCUAACCAGUUUUCUCAAUUCAAAAGAGGGUAAAUGGGCUACGAAGCUCAACUAUAAACCAUGACUCUGUUCUUCGUCUGCACCACUUUCUCACAGUCUCGAGUUGAUUGCUUCUCCAAUCUUCCUCGCGUCACUUUGAUGUUGUAUGUUGUUUCAUAAGAGAGAGCAAGACAUGUGGAGAAAUCUGCAAAGCAAAGAUCAAUGCAUUUGAUGCCACGGUGAUCUGGGACGAGCAAGGCUCGAGCUAAGCAUUUAAAGAGACUGUUUUGUUUCUAUGACCAUAUUAGUAAAGAACCUACAGCAUUGAAUUAAAGGCAGUUGAGAGCUGCUGUCCUCAGAUGUGAGUAAAAGAUGCAGUCCUCAGAUAUGAAUAUGAACAUGUUUGUGUAUGUUGUUUCGUAAGAGUUUGCCGGUUACGAGCAGUAAUAAACCGGAGUCCUCAAAUGUGGGUAAAAGUUUUGAGAGUAUUACUUAAGCUGUGGUUUUUCGUUGAUCAUUGUCUCUAACUAUCCUAUUGCAUUUGGUAUUAAAAUGUGCAGGCGUAAGUCUGAAUAAUGAAGAGAAUAAAGCAUGUUUUAUUGGCUUA